GCCAGAAUAGCUCAGUUGGAAGAGCGUUAGAUUGAAGAUCUACAGGUCAGUGGUUCGAUCCCGGGUUCCGGCA
This 73-nucleotide transfer RNA is filed under the name Pongo abelii (Sumatran orangutan). It matches the Rfam family "tRNA". Rfam says of the family: Transfer RNA (tRNA) molecules are approximately 80 nucleotides in length. Their secondary structure includes four short double-helical elements and three loops (D, anti-codon, and T loops). The record is from Rfam by way of RNAcentral. Lineage: Eukaryota; Metazoa; Chordata; Mammalia; Primates; Hominidae.